GCUUUCCUGUGGCUCAGUUGGUAGAGCAUUGCGCUAACAACGCAAAGGUUGUGGGUUCAAAUCCGAGGGAAAGCA
Molecule: transfer RNA, 75 nt
Filed under: Danionella cerebrum
Lineage: Eukaryota; Metazoa; Chordata; Actinopteri; Cypriniformes; Danionidae
Description: tRNA-Val
Rfam family: tRNA
About the family: Transfer RNA (tRNA) molecules are approximately 80 nucleotides in length. Their secondary structure includes four short double-helical elements and three loops (D, anti-codon, and T loops).
Source: RNAcentral